AAGUCGUAACAAGGUUUCCGUAGGUGAACCUGCGGAAGGAUCAUUAACGAGUUUUGAAAUGGGUUGUAGCUGGCCUCAAUGAAAGGCAUGUGCACGCCCUGCUCAUCCACUCUCAUACCCCUGUGCACUUACUGUAGGCUAGGUGGGAUGAACCCCGAUCGCAAGGUUAGGGUUUUGAAAGCCUUGUCUAUGUUUUACUACAAACGAUUCAGUUAUAGAAUGUUACAUUAGCGUUUAACGCAAUAAAUACAACUUUCAGCAACGGAUCUCUUGGCUCUC
Molecule: unclassified non-coding RNA, 279 nt
Filed under: Phlebiodontia subochracea
Lineage: Eukaryota; Fungi; Basidiomycota; Agaricomycetes; Polyporales; Meruliaceae
Also listed under: 3 other names
Description: partial contains small subunit ribosomal RNA, internal transcribed spacer 1, and 5.8S ribosomal RNA
Rfam family: Eukaryotic small subunit ribosomal RNA (bases 1-46)
Source: RNAcentral